RNAcentral lists this long non-coding RNA (747 nucleotides) under Salmo salar (Atlantic salmon). RNAcentral's name for it is "lncRNA (ENSSSAG00000087692.1)". The record is from RNAcentral. Lineage: Eukaryota; Metazoa; Chordata; Actinopteri; Salmoniformes; Salmonidae.
ACUGUGGAUUCAGGCAGUGGUUCAGUCUCUAUAACUAGCUGUGGAUUCAGGCAGUGGUUCAGUCUCUAUAACUAACUGUGGAUACAGGCAGUGGUUCAGUCUCUAUAACUAACGGUGGAUUCAGGCAGUGGUUCAGUCUCUAUAACUAACUGUGGAUUCAGGCAGUGGUUAAGUCUCUAUAACUAACUGUGGAUACAGGCAGUGGUUAAGUCACUAUAACUAGCUGUGGAUUUGGGCAGUGGUUCAAUCUCUAUAGCUAAUUGUGGAUUCAGGCAGUGGUUCAGUCUCUAUAACUAACUGUGGAUUCAGGCAGUGGUUCAGUCUCUAUAACUAACUGUGGAUUCAGGCAGUGGUUCAGUCUCUAUAACUAACUGUGGAUUCAGGCAGUGGUUCAGUCUCUAUAACUAGCUGUGGAUUCAGGCAGUGGUUCAGUCUCUAUAACUAACUGUGGAUUUGGGCAGUGGGUCGGGGUGAGUGGCCCCGUUACCUCUGAGGAAUGUUCGGUGACCUUUUGACCCCACCAGACUCCAAGGGUGUUAGCCCCACUGACAGCACACACACACACACACACACACACACACACACACACACACACACACACACACACACACACACACACACACACACACACACACACACACACACACACACACACACACACACACACACACACACACACUCUACAGGCUGCAGCAGAGCAGAGGCCAUUUGGUGCUCCCAAUAAAUUAUUUACCCCUACCCCCAAAC